CCGUCCUGAACGCGCCCGAUCUCAUCUGAUCUUUGAAGCUAAGUAGGGUCGGGCCUGGUUAGAACUUGGAUGGGAGACAGCCUGGGAAUACCCCAU
Molecule: ribosomal RNA, 96 nt
Filed under: Mus musculus (house mouse)
Lineage: Eukaryota; Metazoa; Chordata; Mammalia; Rodentia; Muridae
Source: RNAcentral